GCCUUCGUGGUGUAGUGGUCAGCACCCUCACCGCGUAUUCGAGAGACCCGUGGUUCGAAUCCUGGCGAGAGCA
Stegodyphus mimosarum is the source of this 73-nucleotide non-coding RNA. The record is from Rfam. NCBI's taxonomy places the organism in Eukaryota, Metazoa, Arthropoda, Arachnida, Araneae, Eresidae.